Molecule: long non-coding RNA, 1032 nt
Organism: Canis lupus familiaris (dog)
Lineage: Eukaryota; Metazoa; Chordata; Mammalia; Carnivora; Canidae
Exons: 3
Source: RefSeq, a predicted model, not a curated record
GCCGCGCGCAGCCGUGUUUCCUUCGGAACCGGCGCUGCCUGGUGGGGUGGGGAUGUGGGGUCGCUAGAGCGAAAGCUGCCGACGACCCUGCACCCCCCUACCCCCCCCUCCCCGAGAGAAGGGCGAAAGCUGUGUGGAGAGCUGUGCAUCCCCGGCCAUCAGCAUGCUUGCUUUUUUUAAAUUUUGGCCAUUCGAGCUACUGUCAACACCUGGCAAUUUUUUAAAAAGUCAUUUCAUUCACCAAAUACCGAUUGUGUAGCUAAGUACGCGAGGGGAACGAGAGGCAGCUGGGAUAUCGUGGAAGGAGCAGUGAAUGGAGCCAGGAUGCUGGAUUCUGGUCUUGGACCCGCUCUAAGCAGACCACUUUCCCAGUAAAUUAUUUGUAGCUCAGUUUCCUCAAAAUAGGAUGACAAUGUUUCUCUUACAAGCCUAGGGUGAGGAUUUAAUAUAACCAAUUGGCUGUCUAGGAAAGGCCUUUGAACAUCUCAACAGGACCUCAGGCAGCCACUACCAACCAACCGGAGUUGGCCCUUGAGAUGAAACCUAUCUGAUAUCCCUGUUCUAGAGGAAAUAAGGAUUUCACAAGCCAAUGAACUCUGGUCUUGACCGGUCUUCUCAAGAUGAGCUGAACCUCACACCUUUUAUUGCUCUUCAUCAUCCUCACAUCCCCGAAGGACACAGAGGUGAUGUGUCUCAAGAAGGUUUUCAAAAGCAUGGGUCUGCCGGACAGAGCAGGAAGCAAGCUACCUUGUUGUCGGUUGUCCUUUGGGAAGGCCCCUCAAGGCAGAUAAGGGAGGAAGACCUCUAGCCAACAGCCAGCAAGGAACUGAGACCCUUAGUCCAACAGCCUAUGAGGAACGGAAUCCUGCCAACAGCUACAUAAGUGGGGAAUCCCUCCCCAGUCAAGCCUUGAGAAAAGACCACAACCCUAGCUGAUACCUGAACUGCAGCCUGUAAGAGAACCUUGAGGCAGAGGCACACAGCUAAGCUGAAUCCAGAUUUCUGACCCACAAAAACUGUGAGAUAAUAAAA